GGGAUCGAAGAUGAUUAGGUACCAUCGUAGUCUUAACCGUAAACUAUGCCGACUUGCGAUUGUCCGAUGUUUAUUAUAGACUCUGCCAGAACCGUAUGCGAAAGCAAAGUCUUUGGGUUCCGGGGGGAGUAUGUUCGCAAGAAUGAAACUUAAAGGAAUUGACGGAAGGGCACACAUGGAGUGGAGCCUGCGGCUUAAUUUGACUCAACACGGGAAAACUCACCAGGUCCAGACAAAGUAAGGAUUGACAGAUUGAGAGCUCUUUCUUGAUUCUUUGGGUGGUGGUGCAUGGCCGUUCUUAGUUGGUGGAGUGAUUUGUCUGGUUAAUUCCGAUAACGAACGAGACCCCAACCUGCUAACUAGACUGCGUUAUCUUCUCGAUAUGCGCAGCGCUUCUUAGAGGGACAUUUCGGAUUUACCGGAAGGAAGUUCGAG
Molecule: ribosomal RNA, 435 nt
Filed under: Thraustochytriidae sp.
Lineage: Eukaryota; Bigyra; Thraustochytrida; Thraustochytriidae
Description: SSU rRNA
Rfam family: Eukaryotic small subunit ribosomal RNA
Source: RNAcentral